Myripristis murdjan (pinecone soldierfish) is the source of this 1680-nucleotide long non-coding RNA. RefSeq lists it as uncharacterized. Lineage: Eukaryota; Metazoa; Chordata; Actinopteri; Holocentriformes; Holocentridae. The transcript has 3 exons. The record is from RefSeq and is a predicted model, not a curated record.
CCGGAUGAGAGAAAGAAAGAAAGAGGUGUUGACUGUAAAGGUGAGAGGGAAAGAGAAAGAAGGCACGAAAGAAAGGGACUUGUUUUAUUUUUUGCUCCCUCGUUGACCCCGGCUUGUCAGAGGCUGGCCAGAAAAGGCAGCACACCCCUCCCUGGCAAAUACAGGAGCGCCUCAUGUGCCUGCAGCUCCAUCCUGGAUUCAUCUCAGCAUUUACACAGGACGAGAUUUUUGGAGCAAUGACGGAAGUGUGGGCAGGUUUCGAGCCCAGGGGCUGUCAGCGUUUGAGUUUGGGGACUGGACGAGUGCACUUGUUCGCUGAAAUGUCACUGGUCAAUUUGUCCAAGAUCAGGGUGGAAAUCCGAUCCUAACGCGGCUCCACUCACCAGGGCCAUGACACACUACUAAUUACCUGUUAUACCGAUCGGAGAGUGGGACGGCGUGAAAGAGGAAGACUGCUUUUAAGACGGGAGGAUAUCACGUCCUCCUCCCUCAUUCAGCGGGGUUGAAUAUUUUUAGCAUGGUUAUGAAUUGUUUUUUAUUCAGCCAGGGGAUAACUCUGUGGCAUCAGUGUCACCUGGAAUACAACACCCCUUUUUACAGAUGGGUGAUUUUCAUGUAAGUGAGGGGAUUUCUUUCACUGUAUCUGCUGGAACCGACGUUAACCUGUUGCCAGAAUUCACUUGUCGCUCCGGGGGAAGGUUUACAUCGCUACAUAGCGAGAGAGUAGAACAGCUGGGUGUGAGUUCAAGUCUGCAGUGUAAUUGCGGAAUAUGAGCGUAUUCACUGCAUGCGUUCAUUUAACCACACGGAAAACAUUUAAGCAGCUACACAUAAAAAAAAAUAUAUACGCAGCAGACGAUACAUUCAACCUGCUGUGGACCUUUUGUCACAUCCUCCGCCAUGAUUUAGUUGUUUCCUUUCAUAUGUUGACUUCACUCACUGUUACAGAAUCAUGGGUAAUUUUCUUUCAACUAACAAAUAGUUCCUUGAAUAGCAGGAAUGUAAUAUUCUCACAUUUUGAGGAAGAAUACCAGUGUCAUUUAGUGCUAUAGCCCAAUUUUCAUUAUUGUCAUUUUUAUAGUUACUAUAAUUUAAAAAUCUACUCAUUUUUCAAGGUUUUAAAAUAAGACAAUGUUCACCCUGAGAUUUUACCUGCUGAUCUGGUAAACAAAUAUAUCCUAAAUAAGAAAACAUGGGUUUGACAGCAAAGUUUGUAUGGUGGCAUGUUGAGUAAUUAUUUCCUGGUGGAGACUUCCAUUUCUCCCUGUGGGUGGGUGUCAGGUGUAAAGGAGGGGGGAAGACCAUACAAAACAAAACAAAACAAAACAAACAAACAAAUACACAUGCAUUAUCCUUUGAGCCUCAUUAAUAUUUUGAGAGGAAAAAAGUGUAAUAAUCCUCAAAUGUGUAAUCCAGAAUUCCCUGCAAAUCAGUAGGUAGUGGAGAACUAGAGGUGAUAUGUGAAAAAUUAGAGAUGAACAAUGAAAGGGGACAGUUUGAAUUCAAAUGAAGGACAUACAUACAGAUUUGAAAUGAUUUUGGGAAAAUAUUGCUGUGUUUCUAUUGUUAAAUCUAUGAGCACCUGUUUUUCUGUUAACAUUAUGACAGAUCUGUUUUUUUUUCCUCUAAUAAAGAAUUCUUUAUGGUCGCGUUCUCUUUUCAUUGAACUUCCAGUCUGUA